UGAGGAAUAUUGGUCAAUGGGCGGGAGCCUGAACCAGCCAAGUCGCGUGAAGGAAGAAGGAUCUAUGGUUCGUAAACUUCUUUUGCAGGGGAAUAAAGUGCAGGACGUGUCCUGUUUUGUAUGUACCCUGAGAAUAAGGAUCGGCUAACUCCGUGCCAGCAGCCGCGGUAAUACGGAGGAUCCGAGCGUUAUCCGGAUUUAUUGGGUUUAAAGGGUGCGUAGGUGGUUUGAUAAGUCAGCGGUGAAAGUUUGCAGCUUAACUGUAAAAAUGCCGUUGAAACUGUCGGACUUGAGUGUAAAUGAGGUAGGCGGAAUGCGUGGUGUAGCGGUGAAAUGCAUAGAUAUCACGCAGAACUCCGAUUGCGAAGGCAGCUUACUAAGCUACAACUGACACUGAAGCACGAAAGCGUGGGGAUCAAACAG
RNAcentral lists this ribosomal RNA (423 nucleotides) under uncultured bacterium. Its description in RNAcentral is "bacterial SSU rRNA". It matches the Rfam family "Bacterial small subunit ribosomal RNA", at positions 355 to 775 of the family's 1533-position model. The record is from RNAcentral.